AUGGAAGAGGAGUUGAGGUCGACCCACGACAAUAAUGCAUGGGUGCUUGUGGAUCUUCCCAACAAUGAAAAAGUCAUGGAUCUCAAGUGGGAAUUUAUGAUCAAGAAAGAUGCCGAUGGGGCCGUGAACCACAAAGCAAGGCUAGUAGCCAAAGAGUACGUGCAAGAGGAAGGUGCGGACUUCGAAGAAGUGUUCGUUCCCGUUGCAAAGAUGAAAUCGGUGGAAUUACUCAUCGCUCUCGCGGUUCAGGAAUCAUGGAAGAUACAUCACAUGGAUGUAAAAUCCGCGUUUUUGAAUGGGGAGUUAGAAGGAGAUGUUUAUGUGAAUCAGUCACCGGGAUUCAUCAAAGAGGGAGAGGAACACAAGGUAUUGAAGCUACACCAAGUCUUGUACGGGCUACGGCAAGGCUCUCGGGUAUGGAACAUCAAACUUGAUCAGAUGAUGAUUUCUCUUGGAUUUGAGAAAGCCCCACUAGAGUAUGCUAUGUACAAGAGAGGUGAAGGAAGGGAUCGUCUACUAGUUGGCAUCUACGUCGAUGAUCUAUUGAUUACUGGAGCAGAUGAAGAGGUGAUUGCAAAGUUCAAGCUACAGAUGAAGGAGCUUUUCAAGAUGGAUGAUCUAGGCCUUUUGAGUUGCAACCUCGGGAAAGAGGUACAUCAAAAGCUGGAGGGGAUCACACUAUGCCAGGAGGCAUAUGCAAAGAAGGUACUUGAAAGCCGUGGCAUGAAAGAUUGCAAUCACGUUGUCGCUUCAAUGGAACCUGGUCUUGAGAUGAGCAAGAAGGAGAUGGUGAAACUACUUGUGUAUAGUGGUAGUGACAAGGAUGGGAUUGUUGACGACUGUAAGAGUACCUCGGACGUGGCAUAUUUCCUUGGCAGAAGCAUAGUAAGCUGGCUAUCACGAAGACAGAAAGUGGUGACAUCGACUUCAAGUGAAGCAUAG
Molecule: ribosomal RNA, 942 nt
Filed under: Triticum aestivum (bread wheat)
Lineage: Eukaryota; Viridiplantae; Streptophyta; Magnoliopsida; Poales; Poaceae
Description: partial small subunit ribosomal RNA
Source: RNAcentral